This 294-nucleotide transfer RNA is filed under the name Methylobacterium nodulans ORS 2060. RNAcentral's name for it is "tRNA-Und (NNN) (tRNA-Und-NNN-2-1)". Lineage: Bacteria; Pseudomonadati; Pseudomonadota; Alphaproteobacteria; Hyphomicrobiales; Methylobacteriaceae. The record is from RNAcentral.
GUCUCCGUAGCUCAGCUGGACAGAGCACAGGUUUCCUGAACCGAAUUGGGCGCCGCGCCGGGAAACUGCGCGGCGGAUCCGCUCAAAGUCGGGGAAAGCGUCGAUCUCGCGUCACGCCGAUCCCGAGCCAAGCCCGGCCCUGCCGGGAAGGUGUAGAGACUAGACGGGCGGCACCUAAGGGCCUCGUGCCUACGGUGAAGGGAUAGUCCAGACCACGAACGCCGGAUGGCGGCGGCGAAAGCCGAAGUGGGAUGAAACCUGGGGUCGCAGGUUCGAGCCCUGCCGGGGACGCCA